ACGCUGGCGGCGUGCCUAAUACAUGCAAGUCGAGCGAGAUGUUAGCGCAUGAACCUUCGGGGGAUUAUGCUAACGGACAGCGGCGGACGGGUGAGUAACGCGUAGGCAACCUGCCCCUGACAGAGGGAUAGCCAUUGGAAACGAUGAUUAAAACCUCAUGACACCGUAGAAGCACAUGCUUCAUCGGUCAAAGAUUUAUCGGUCAGGGAUGGGCCUGCGUCUGAUUAACUAGUUGGUGAGGUAACGGCUCACCAAGGUGACGAUCAGUAGCCGACCUGAGAGGGUGAUCGGCCACAUUGGAACUGAGACACGGUCCAAACUUCUACGGAAGGCAGCAGUAGGGAAUCUUGCACAAUGGGCGAAAGCCUGAUGCAGCAACGCCGCGUGAAGGAUGUAGGCCUUCGGGUUGUAGACUUCUGUUCUAAGGGAAGAAACAAAUGACGGUACCUUAGGAGCAAGCCCCGGCUAACUACGUGCCAGCAGCCGCGGUAAUACGUAGGGGGCAAGCGUUAUCCGGAAUUAUUGGGCGUAAAGAGUGCGUAGGUGGUUACCUAAGCGCAAGGUUUAAUUUAGAGGCUCAACCUCUACUUGCCUCGCGAACUGGGCUACUUGAGUGCAGGAGGGGAAAGCGGAAUUCCUAGUGUAGCGGUGAAAUGCGUAGAUAUUAGGAGGAACACCAGCGGCGAAGGCGGCUUUCUGGACUGUAACUGACACUGAGGCACGAAAGCGUGGGUAGCAAACAGGAUUAGAUACCCUGGUAGUCCACGCCGUAAACGAUGAGCACUAGGUGUUGGGCCCGUUAGGGCUCAGUGCCGCAGUUAACGCAAUAAGUGCUCCGCCUGGGGAGUACGCUCGCAAGAGUAAAACUCAAAGGAAUUGACGGGGACCCGCACAAGCAGCGGAGCAUGUGGUUUAAUUCGAAGCAACGCGA
RNAcentral lists this ribosomal RNA (931 nucleotides) under uncultured bacterium. Its description in RNAcentral is "bacterial SSU rRNA". It matches the Rfam family "Bacterial small subunit ribosomal RNA", at positions 33 to 964 of the family's 1533-position model. The record is from RNAcentral.